UACUCCUACGGGAGGCAGCAGUGGGGAAUAUUGCACAAUGGGCGCAAGCCUGAUGCAGCCAUGCCGCGUGUAUGAAGAAGGCCUUCGGGUUGUAAAGUACUUUCAGCGAGGAGGAAGGCGUUAAGGUUAAUAACCYUGGCGAUUGACGUUACCCGCAGAAGAAGCACCGGCUAACUCCGUGCCAGCAGCCGCGGUAAU
This 198-nucleotide ribosomal RNA is filed under the name uncultured bacterium. RNAcentral describes it as "partial 16S ribosomal RNA". It matches the Rfam family "Bacterial small subunit ribosomal RNA", at positions 334 to 524 of the family's 1533-position model. The record is from RNAcentral.